Siniperca chuatsi (mandarin fish) is the source of this 7310-nucleotide RNA transcript. It is a transcript of the gene named transcription factor 3a, with no coding region annotated. The record is from RefSeq and is a predicted model, not a curated record. NCBI's taxonomy places the organism in Eukaryota, Metazoa, Chordata, Actinopteri, Centrarchiformes, Sinipercidae. The transcript is spliced from 19 exons.
CUGUGCUCAUCCGCCAGUCGACAUAGAUCCCCGCGAAUUGGUACUCCGAUCAUUUUGUAUCUCGUUUACAUCCACAAAACAGUGACAUUUUGUGGUAUUUAAGAUAGUCGCCGCGUAAAUACAAAUUGUGUUGAACCCUGCUUUGUUUGGUUACGUCGUUUUAGUUGAGAUUGGACACCGCUGAUGUUUCAGCGUCCAUGGCCUCCCGUAGGCUGUGGUGCGGAGUGAUACUCCUUUGGAACCGACAAUGUGGAGGCUGUUAAAAUGUCUACUUGGAAAAUGAAAUGGUUACAAUUUCUCUAACAGUAAGGAAACGGGGGUAACUCAAGAGUUAUGGUUUGUGUAGGAGACGUGUUUUCAGCUUCGUGACAAAGACGACGACGAGACGGAGGAGUGGUUCAUAUUGUCUUUUCUCAUUUUCAUCAAGCCCACAGUCCGGACCACGGGGGGAAGGAUCCGAUCCCCAACUUUGUUUUUCUCUCUACUCCAGCCGUUGAUAUCUCCCUGUUGGAUGCCACAUAAUUGAAUCCAGUCGCUUGCUGAGACUGAAAGUGCCAAGUGAACAGCAGCAGAGAAUGGCUGCAGUGGAAACUGACAAGGAGCUCAACGACUUGCUGGAUUUUAGCGCGAUGUUUGAGCCUCCCGUUUCAAAUGGCAAGAACCGGCCGACUACUCUCGCCAGCAGUCAGUUUGGAGGUAUGGAUGAGAGGAAUGGGCCCAGUCCCUGGGGGCCAGGACAACAGAACAAUCCAUCUUUCAACCAGGGAAGGGGUUAUGGAGAAGAAGGCCUUUACAGUGAGCAAGAGGGCAUUGCCUCUGCCCCCAUGUUUGGAUCAGGGAUUGUUGGGAAGGCUGAGCGAGGACCAUACUCGUCAUUUGCAACACAGCAGGGCUUUAUGCCCAGUGAGAUGCCCAUGCCCAGUCCCAAUGCCCUCUCCCCGUCUGGCCUGAAGUCUAACUCCCAGUUUUACUCCUCUUAUGAGGGAAGCAACCCUCGCAGGAGACACUCACAGGACCCCAUUGAAUCACAGCCAAAAAAGAUCAGAAAGGUGCCCCCUGGCCUGCCCUCCUCGGUUUAUGCAUCUGCCUCAGGAGAGGAUUUUAACAGGGACAAUGCUGGCUACCCAGCCUCCAAGGCAGGAAACAUUUGCCCACCACCAUUCUACGUGCAAGAAGGCCUCCACCCGCCCUCCGAUCCAUGGGGCUCUGCCAGGUCAAUGGUUCAGCCUGGUUAUUCUGCCAUGCUGGGCAACUCCCCCCAUCUGAGCCAGCAUGGUCCCUUCACUGCCAUCAACCCCCAAGACAGACUGAAACGGCAGCCACUGCCCCUCUCUCCCCAAAACUACCCGCUCCAUGGCAGUGAUGUGAACGGGACCCAUCCCACUAGCUUCCACUCUGGCUCCAGCAGCUUCGGAGUCCCCAGCCACACACCCCCUAUCGCUGGCACUGACACCAUUAUGGCCAAUCGAGUUGUAGUACCUGGAAGUUCAGGUGAUGAGAUUGGAAAAGCCCUGGCAUCUAUCUAUCCUUCAGACCCAAACAGUAACACCUUCCCUCCGUCCCCGUCUACUCCCUCUGGAUCUCCCCAGGCUGUAUCAGGCUCUGCAUCCCAGUGGACUCGGUCCUCUGGCCAGGCCACACCUUCGCCCAACUUUGAGGGUGGAAUUCAGUCCAUGCAGAGUAAAAUGGAAGACCGUCUGGACGAAGCCAUCAAUGUUCUUCAGCGUCACGCCAGCGGACAAGGAGGGCCAGGCCUGGCUGAAAUGCACAGUCUGCUCUCAUCUGGUUUAGGGUUGCCUCCAGCCUUCACCAGUGCAGCACUUGGACUGGCCAGUCGCCUGCCUGGACUGGUGUCCAGUCACCAUGAGGACUCUGGUCUGCCCUCUAGUGGAGGACUUUUGCAUGGUCACCACGGCACCACAUCUCUCCAGCCAGGCUCUCAGCAUGAAGGUUUUACCGGCCUGCCCAGUAGCCUAAGUCGUUCCACUGGUGCUGAUAUCAAACGAGAGGACAAGGAGGAUGAUGAGAACUGCUCCAUUACCGACAAGUCAGAGGAUGAGAAAAAGGACAUGAAGGCCCGCCUUCGAACAAGUCUGGAUGAUGAGGAUGACGAUGAAGAUCUGCCAGUGGAGAUUAAGGCUGAGCGGGAGAAAGUGCGGAGGAUGGCAAACAACACCCGCGAACGGCUACGUGUGCGGGACAUCAAUGAGGCUUUUAAGGAGCUGGGCCGCAUGUGUCAGCUCCAUCUGAGCAAUGAGAAACCGCAGACCAAAUUGAUCGUACUGCAACAGGCUGUUAACGUUAUACUCAACCUGGAGCAGCAAGUUCGAGGUCAGUGGGUGUCCAGGGAGGAAGGAAGAGGAGGGGAAGGGCCUCUUUACAAAAUAAAACUCCCACACGGCUUCACUUCCCAUCUCCUGACAUGUCCUGCUAGCCAUUUUAAAUCUUUUUUAAAUUUCUCGUGGUAGUUUAUUUUACUCCACUAAUGGUGGUAAACAAAUUAUGCCUGCCGAACACUAGUGACGUUACUUAUUAUUUAUUUUUGCAGUCCAUCCUAAAAAUGAAUCAACAAAGUGAGGACAUGGGAUAAGGAAAUUAAGCUGUGUGACUGUUUUUAAGACAUGCCCAUUCUCCAGUUCAUCUUCUAAGGUUUUCGUCCUCUGGUAACACAUACAGGACUGCUGUUUGUUCUGAUGCAGUAUGUGUUGCCUUGUCUUACAGUUGGCUUUCUGUUUCCACUGUGUAAAUGCUUACAUGUCUCUCUGCCUCACCCUUUGACUGGAUUAACACAUCUUUUUGUGUACUCACUUGCUUUCUCCAUUGUUGCCUCAUUAUGCUUUUAUUAAACUAUGAAGUCAUUUUAAUUUCAAAUAAGUUAUUUCAGCAUUAUGAUGCCUUCUGCUCAUAGUUUACUUGUCUGUUCACCGGCACCCCAGGUUAACAUGAAAGCAGGGCUGUCUGUUGUCAUGUGUGUUCAGCUUUGUUGCAGUGUCUCUGUGCUGCAUGUCCCAGCCUUUCAAGCAUUAACCCUUUAAUUUUUGCUACCCUGUUUUCGAGACAAACCUUUCCAUUUCUUCAUUCACUCCCCCACCCUCUGUCAUGUUCUUUUUACAGAUGGCAACAGUGAUCUCCUCUUCCUCACAUUCAGAUAAAUACAUCUCCUUCUGCUGAUGUAUUUAACAUGAUGCCCUCAGCCCUCCUCUUGGCUUUUUCUCUGUGGCUCUUUCUAUGUUGGCAGAGGGUGUUGCUUCCUCUCUCCCUCCCUUUCUCUCUCCCUCCUCAUUACUUCUCUCAUUCUGCUGGACAGUCACCAUAUCCCCUACAACUUCCAUCCUGGACCCCAAUGACCAAAAAAAAAAUCUUUGUUGGUUGGUUAGACUACAGGACAGAUUUAUUAGACCUGGUCACGCAGGUCAACUCUUGUAUCUUGAUAUCCAAUAUAUUUGUUCUUGGCUUAAAAUCAUUUAGUGCCGGGCUCGCUCAACCCACAACACUUAAAGUCAUGACUAAUUGAAAAUAUGUCCAUUUAUCAUUUACCUACUUUAGAUCUAAGAAAAAACAUCAAUUUCCACCCAUCCGCUCACUCUCCUGCAACACAGCCCCGCUCCACUGGGAUCUUCUUCAGCAAUUCCACUGGUCUCGUCUUGGGCUAAGAGCUUUAAGUUACAUAGACAUACAUAAAAGACAAAAUAUUUCCCAGUAACAGAACUAGAAUUCUGAGGAGGAAAAACAAGUUAAAAGCAGUAUUAUAGGUUUAAACCAGUAUGACUGCAGCUUUAGUGAGAACGUCUAGCCUGAGUUCAGCGAGGGUUGUGAUUUGGGUUUGUUAACCAGCCCCCUCCACCCCCCUCCCCCUCCGCCUGGCUGCAGCGUUGUCUCGGUGACUGAUGAGAACCUGACUGCCGAGGAGAAGGAGCAGAGGGAGCGUGAGCGCCGCCACGCUAACAACGCUAGGGAGAGGGUGCGUGUGCGCGACAUUAACGAAGCCUUCAGAGAGCUGGGCAGGAUGUGUCAGGUCCACCUGCAGAGCGACAAGGCCCAGACCAAGCUUAUCAUCCUGCAACAGGCUGUCCAGGUCAUACUGGGCCUGGAGAAGCAGGUGCGAGGUAGGUCAGCCAAUACAGGAAGGUCUGAUCCACAUAGACAACCAACCAUCUCUUAUCAUAGCCGGACAAAAGUUGGCAGUCAUUCACCUGUAGGAAAAUCUCUUCUUAAAUUUUGUUCUCACUUACUGUGUAGCAUCCACUUUGGCUUUCUCUUUGCUAUUUGCCUGUAUCACUUUGAAAAAUGAAGAAAGAAUGGAGAAGAAAGGGAGAAUAUUUGAGGAAGUAUAUCCCUGCCAAACGCCUGCUGUUCUCAUCCUACUUUUCAUUUUCCUGCUUUCCUUGCUUUUUCCCUUUUCUGUUUUCCCCUGUCUAUUAAUGACCUUUUUUUAUGUUCAAAACUCUGCUUUAAUGUCUUAACAGAUUUCUGAGCAUGAAGCAUAACAAGAUAAUCUCAAGAAUUUCCUUCCUUCCUUACUGUUUGUAAUCUAUGCAUGUGUCCUUUUUUCAAAGAGCGUAAUUUGAACCCAAAGGCUGCCUGCCUCAAGAGGAGAGAGGAGGAAAAAGUUUCAGGUGUGGACCCCCAGAUGCAGCUUGGUGGGGGUCACCCUGGUCUGGGAGGAGAUGGACAUAUGUAAUUCUCAGUUCCUGUUGAUUGUACAGCCCUUAGAACACGUGGCCUUAAUCUUUCAUUGUCAUGCAUCUCAGUGUGUGUUAAUCAACUUUUGGAAAGCACACAUGCACACACACCUCAUUACUGACAAGGCAGGUGGCCACAUUCCUGACGAUGAAUACAAAAGUAACAAGCACACUCUUACAGAAAGAGGAAAAUUUUAUUAAUCUUUACAUGACAAUACAUUGAACUGAGGACACUGGUUUGGAGACAGUGGAAAUUGGACAUAAGGACGUUCUUAUGAUCGUGUUUUUGUAAGACAUUUUGAAAAAAUUGCUUUACAUGUUGGGAGCAAAACUUGUUUGGAUCAAAUAAAACUUUGGAUCAAUUGAUUGUGUUAGCAGAGUUAGGAUUUGUAUUGUUGGAUAAUUAUUGGCAUUCCCAUCUGAAAAGGAGGUCUUACAUUCUUCACAAGCAAAGAGGGACACCCGGGUUUAUAUAUCAUGAUUGAACAAAACCUGUUUAUGGUUUACGUGCCUGAAAGAGGCCUAAUGCAUAGUGUUUGGUUAAGAUAAAAGUAGCCAUCUUUAUUAUCCUCUCAUGUGAUGGCUGCAUUACAGAGGUAGGUUUGGAGACAAACAGCAGCUAACUGGGCAAUCCGAGAGCUGACUUCUCUUUUUGAUACGCUGGUAACUCUGGCCGUAUUUUUUUCAUUUUUUUGCUUUGGCUGUAAAGGUGCCACAGCCACUGACUCACUGACUGGUGGGUUAUUUUUUCUUUAUUUUUAACUGUGUAUCCCUGAGUCUUAUCUCUUUAAAGUCCUGUACAUCUGUUAUUGUCACGAAGUGGAAUGGAAAGUCUGCCAGAGAGAGACCCACCACCGGCACAAACGCGAGCAAAGACUCAAUACAAAUCCAGGAUGACGUUGAAUCAAAUGUGCACAGGCACAUCCCGACCUUCCUGUGUGAGGCUGCCAUUGGACUCGAGCACACAGGUUUCACCCUCACUGCUCACAUCCUUCGCCAUCACGAAGUCAGUCACUCAGUCUCAGCCAUGUGGUCAGUUUGAACCCUGUGACUCCAGUACAGCCAGUGUCGCAUCAGCCUGCCCCUGUCAAAUCAUACCUAAAGACACUGUUGCAGCAUGGUGAACUUACUUACCGUAAGUCAAUUUGUAUUGUGCUAGAAGACAGAAAUAAUUGAGUAUUGAAAGGGAUCAUGAGUGUUACUGCUACCUUUUUAUGGAGAAUUUAUGCCAUUGACUGACUUGUUGUGGUUGUUGCUCUGUGUCGAGCAUUUGGUGUUUUGUUUUUUUUCCCCCUUUUGAACAAUUGCAAAGCCUGUUGUAAGGAUCUUCCUUUUGUAGAAUUGAUUUGUCAUUGUUUUUUUUAUUUUUUACAUUGUAAGAUAGUUGUAUGAGUUUUGUUUUAAUCAUUUGGAAUGCUCUUUCUUUUUUGUUUACAUUGUUUAAAUGUAAGAGGACUCUCAAUUUAGAUUCCAGGAACAAAGUGAGGUGUUUUCUUUUGUGCCAGGUGCUUAGAAAUGUUAGAAAUGACAAAAUGAUCUGGCUGUAACAUCACAUGUUGUGAUAUUGCUUUUUUGUUGUUUUAAAUGCCUGUUUCAACACAAACCUGUCAGGCCAGUUGUAAUUCUGGUGUUUACGACAGUUUUUCUUAAAAUAAAACAUAAUAUUUUUCUUCAGCACACCCCCCCUCCUCUCCCUGAUGUCCAGCUGAUGAGCUAGUUGAUUAGUUUGAGGAAGAGGCAGUAGGGGCUGCACAAUAUACAACAUAAUUCACUGUUUUAUUAUGAUAUAAAGCAUAAAAUGAAUCAAAAAGGGUGGCCUUAGUCAUUUUCCUGACUUUGGGAGUUUUGAUAAUGGUUACUCACCAGUGCCUGAAUACGUCUCUGCUACAUGGUGGAUGAUGUUGCAUUUGAGGAUACAUAUAUACUUCAUUAACAUCUGGCAGUGUCUCAGAACAUCUAAAUGAAGAAUUACAUUAAUUGACGCUGAUUGCUUCAGUGUUUGUGUGUCAUUAAAUGUAAGAUGACUAAUAACCUGAUCUACAACUCUGAAGCUGAAAACUGUACUUAAAAUAUAUUUUUCAUCUUUUAUGAACUGAUUUUGUCAAGUAUAAUUUUGUCCUUGAUUGGCAUGUGCAUUGAUAUGUAUGUACAGCUGUAUGAUAUGUCCUCAUCAGCUUUAUCAUUGUAAGCUGAUACUGAUAUGUAACAGUAUUUGGUUUACUUCUACCUGUCAUUUUGUCACAAAUCUUGCCCUAUGGACUAGCCCCAAACAUUGUUUUCUUUGUCAGUUACUCCAGCCUUUCUGCAGAAAAAAAUGUGGUUGUCAUAUGAAAAAUCGCUACUGAAGACUUGUACUUUUAUUUCUUAACAUGAAUGAUGUGUCUACAGUAUCCAAGUAUCAAAACAUGCACCUGAUAUUCUUUAUUAACAGACCCUUUCUGUCCUCCACAGCAGAUGACCUGCUAUAGAUCUCUCUCUGUCUUCACUCAUGUUUGGGGACAACAUCUAUGUAGGCUAUGUCCUCAAAGUGCCUCCAGUUUCCUAUUUUUUAUAUAUAAAGUAGAUAUCGAGAACUGUUGUGUAUAUAACAGUAAUGUAGCAAUAAAUGUGCCAUUUUUAAUAACAAAA